Long non-coding RNA from Salvelinus namaycush (lake trout), 1632 nucleotides. RefSeq lists it as uncharacterized. The record is from RefSeq and is a predicted model, not a curated record. Lineage: Eukaryota; Metazoa; Chordata; Actinopteri; Salmoniformes; Salmonidae. The transcript is spliced from 4 exons.
ACCACUCAUAUGAUCCCAUCUAAAAAAUAAUAUUAAUAAUACACAUAACUUGUGGCUCCAUAUUGAUGGGCUAUAUGCAUUUGUAAUAUGUAAUAGCCAUAUUGCACGAAUUCAGCUUAUGAGACAAAAGUAUAAUGUGCUCAACUAUUUGGAUAGUAAGGCACACUUCUAGCGCACUGGAAGUACGUCACUUUUCGCAGCAAAACAACGUUUUCAACACGGGUUCCUAAAUGACUGUGGUGGCAGCCUGCAUCACAUAGAAGAUGAACACGGGUGAUUGGGGGAAACAGAUUGAAGAAGGUGGAACAACUAGCUCAGUCCUUCCAGCAGUGUCCUUUGUCCUCUCGCUUCAAACCAAGCAGGCAGCCAUCCUCCAUAUGGAAGCUCUUCCCCCGUCAAUGUAUGGCUAUCAACUUUGCCCAGAGAGCUAACUGUAGUUUUGACUGCCCUCUAAUUCAAAGGACGUGCACGUGUUUGCACUUGAGAAGGAACAGGCCAAGAUGGAUGGGAAGAUCUUCCUGGUCAUCAGUUACAGUGAGCUAUGGCAUUACUACAGCGCAAGGGGACCAAAGACACUGUCACAGUAGACAAGGGAGGGCACAACCGUCAAUCAUCACAUCCGAGGAGCAUUACAUUCAAGUGGAGCGGGCUAUGGUUUCCAGAUGAUCGUCACCCUCUGCUUCCCUUUCCCCUCUACCGGGGGGUUCACAUCUUGAUCGUCGCAUAGAGCAGGUCAAUCUGCUCCCGGAAGUGACUGCGAAGGUCGGUCCUCUUGGCCUUGAGCGUGGGCGUCAGGAGGCCGUUCUGGACGGAGAACAUCUCCGUGUGCAGCGAGAUAUCUCUCACCUGCACGGGACAGAGAGCAUGUUAUUCAUUAUUCCGCUUAUUAUGCAUUUAGCGUUUAUUUAACAAGCCGAGUCCCAUUGAGAUGCAAAUGUAGUUUUUUUUUUUAAAUCCAAGAGUACUCUGGGCUAGAGGCAGCAUUAUAAUCAUGCACAUUUUGGCACCAACAUCGCUUGUGAGUGUUAUCUUGUUUAAAUGGUGCCUAAAGGAGUGUGUGGAGUAUUAGGAAGGAUGCCUUACCUGCUCAAAAGACUUCAGCCCACCUUCUUUCCCCAGCCUCAGAAUGUCCUCCAGAAUGGCAUUUUUCAACUCCUGGAAAGACAGGCACUUUAGACAAGGCAGUGUAGACAAUCUUAAUGGCUGUACUUUAAAGGGAUAGUUCACUCAAACUAUCUUGUAGUAUUUUGUUCGUUAGUCUAUUGUUAAUACAAUCCCCCCCCCCAAAAAAUUUUUUUGCAUGUCAGGGGUCACAUUUUCUUGGACACGUUCAGUACAAACAAAAACUGUGAUGAGUGUUUGAGAUGAGAUUGGCCUUGUUCCGAUAUCCACGCUAGCAUGCCCAAUACAUUGCUUUAUUCUAAGGCUUUACACUCCAAAUCAAAUCAAGUUGUAUGUCACAUGCGCCAAAUACAACAGGUGUAGACCUUACCGUGAAACGCUUACUUACAAGCCCUUAACCAACAAUGCUGUUCAAGAAAUAGAGUUAAAAAAAGAUUUACUACAUAAACUAAAGAAAUAAAAUAAGUAACAAUAAUGAGGCUAUAUACAGGUUACCGGUACCGAGUCAGU